This 500-nucleotide ribosomal RNA is filed under the name uncultured bacterium. RNAcentral's name for it is "bacterial SSU rRNA". It matches the Rfam family "Bacterial small subunit ribosomal RNA", at positions 28 to 511 of the family's 1533-position model. The record is from RNAcentral.
GACGAACGCUGGCGGCAUGCCUAAUACAUGCAAGUCGAACGCUGAAGCACUCUGCUUGCAGAGUGCGGAUGAGUGGCGAACGGGUGAGUAACACGUGGGAAAUCUGCCUAGGAGUGGGGGAUAACAUUCGGAACGGAUGCUAAUACCGCAUAUCUUUUUGAACCGCAUGGUUCUUAAACGAAAGACGGCUUCGGCUGUCGCUCUUAGAUGAUCCCGCGGCGUAUUAGUUAGUUGGUGGGGUAAAGGCCUACCAAGACCAUGAUACGUAGCCGACCUGAGAGGGUGAUCGGCCACACUGGGACUGAGACACGGCCCAGACUCCUACGGGAGGCAGCAGUAGGGAAUCUUCCACAAUGGGUGAAAACCUGAUGGAGCAAUGCCGCGUGAAUGAAGAAGGUCUUCGGGAUCGUAAAGUUCUGUUAUUAGAGAAGUAACAAGUCAAGGAGUAACUGUCUUGACUUUGACGGUACCUACAGAAGUCACGGCUUACUACGUGCCAG